Molecule: ribosomal RNA, 471 nt
Filed under: uncultured bacterium
Lineage: Bacteria
Description: bacterial SSU rRNA
Rfam family: Bacterial small subunit ribosomal RNA
Source: RNAcentral
GAUGAACGCUGGCGGCGUGCUUAACACAUGCAAGUCGAACGGACUUUACAUGAAACCUAGUGAUUGUAAAGUUAGUGGCGGACGGGUGAGUAACGCGUGGGUAACCUGCCUUGUACAGGGGGACAACAGUUGGAAACGACUGCUAAUACCGCAUAAGCGCACAGAGCUGCAUGGCUCAGUGUGAAAAACUUUAGUGGUACAAGAUGGACCCGCGUCUGAUUAGCUAGUUGGUAGGGUAACGGCCUACCAAGGCGACGAUCAGUAGCCGGACUGAGAGGUUGGCCGGCCACAUUGGGACUGAGACACGGCCCAGACUCCUACGGGAGGCAGCAGUGGGGAAUAUUGGGCAAUGGGCGCAAGCCUGACCCAGCAACGCCGCGUGAAGGAAGAAGGCCUUCGGGUUGUAAACUUUUGUCCUAUGGGAAGAAACAAAUGACGGUACCAUAGGAGGAAGCCACGGCUAACUACGUG